CGUGAGGCGGCGGACGGGUGAGUACGCGUGGGUAACCUGCCUCAUACAGGGGGAUAACAGUUAGAAAUGACUGCUAAUACCGCAUAAGACCACGGUACCGCAUGGUACAGUGGUAAAAACUCCGGUGGUAUGAGAUGGACCCGCGUCUGAUUAGGUAGUUGGUGGGGUAACGGCCUACCAAGCCGACGAUCAGUAGCCGACCUGAGAGGGUGACCGGCCACAUUGGGACUGAGACACGGCCCAG
This 244-nucleotide ribosomal RNA is filed under the name uncultured bacterium. Its description in RNAcentral is "partial 16S ribosomal RNA". It matches the Rfam family "Bacterial small subunit ribosomal RNA", at positions 89 to 334 of the family's 1533-position model. The record is from RNAcentral.